RNAcentral lists this unclassified non-coding RNA (1159 nucleotides) under Hevea brasiliensis (rubber tree). Lineage: Eukaryota; Viridiplantae; Streptophyta; Magnoliopsida; Malpighiales; Euphorbiaceae. The record is from RNAcentral.
GGCUUCCUCGACGGCACCUCCAGCGUCUACCUGGAAGAGCUCCAGCGCGCCUGGGAAGCCGACCCCUCCAGCGUCGACGAGUCAUGGGACAACUUCUUCCGCAACUUCGUCGGUCAAGCCGAGACCUCCCCCGGCAUCUCCGGUCAAACAAUCCAGGAAUCCAUGCGCCUCCUCCUCCUCGUCCGCGCCUACCAGGUUAGCGGCCAUAUGAAGGCCAAACUCGACCCCCUCGGCCUCGAGCAGCGCGAGAUCCCCGUCGAUCUCGACCCCGCCCUCUACGGAUUCACCGAAGCCGAUCUAGACCGCGAGUUCUUCAUCGGCGUCUGGCGGAUGUCCGGCUUCCUCUCCGAGAAUCGCCCGAUCCAAACCCUCCGGUCCAUCAUCAACCGCCUCGAACAAGCCUAUUGCGGCUCCAUCGGCUUCGAGUACAUGCACAUCGCUGAUCGUGACAAGUGCAAUUGGCUGAGGGAGAAGAUCGAGACCGUCAAGCCGCACGAGUACACCCAAGACCGACAAAUGGUUAUACUGGAUCGUCUCGCGUGGAGUACGCUCUUCGAGCAGUUUCUCCACACGAAAUGGCCGUCGGCAAAGAGAUUCGGGCUUGAAGGCGCUGAGGUUAUAAUUCCCGGCAUGAAGGAGAUGAUCGACCGGUUGGCGGAUGAUGGGGUGGAGAGCAUUGUGAUUGGGACGGCACACCGGGGGAGGCUGAAUGUGUUGGGGAAUGUUGUUCGGAAGCCGUUGCCGCAGAUAUUCAGUGAGUUUAGUGGGGGUACGAAGCCGGCGAAUGAGGUUGGGUAUACUGGGAGUGGUGAUGUGAAGUAUCAUCUAGGGACGUCGUACGAUAGACCGACGAGAGGUGGGAAGGCUAUCCAUCUAUCUGUGGUUGCUAACCCGAGCCAUCUCGAAGCUGUUGAUCCGGUGGUGGUUGGGAAGACUCGAGCGAAGCAAUACUAUUCUAAAGACUCCCAGAGGACCAGAAAUAUGGGGUUGUUAGUCCAUGGAGAUGGAAGCUUUGCAGGCCAGGGUGUGGUUUAUGAGACUUUGCAUCUGAGUGGCCUCCCCAACUACACGACCGGGGGGACGGUUCACGUUGUGAUCAACAAUCAGCUUGCCUUCACAACGGAUGCGAGGGCUGGAAGGUCUUCACAGUAUUGUACUG